Molecule: long non-coding RNA, 502 nt
Filed under: Marmota monax (woodchuck)
Lineage: Eukaryota; Metazoa; Chordata; Mammalia; Rodentia; Sciuridae
Source: RNAcentral
ACCCGCCAGAGGGUCUGUACAGACCUCGCUUCCAUCCAUAAAGGCGGAUUCUCCUUCAUGGCAGUGGUCUGUGGAGUGCAUGGAGGAGCAGUUUCCUUGCUGUGUGGACUGCAGGGAAGGUGUGAGCCUGUCGGUGCCUUGCGGGGCCUCUCCAAGCCUGGCUGUCCCAGAACCUGGUGAAGCGAGGAGAUGGGGGAACCGCCACUCCCUGACCUCUGACCCUGGUGAGCUUGUAUUUCUCUUCCACAUCAAGAAUCCAGUCCUCACAAGGCCGGCUCUGGAACUCUCUGCUCACAGGCUUCCUGGCCAGACACUCAGUGACCAGGCUCUGGAUCCAUUGGGUUUUCUGGAAAAAGAGACAUUAUUUGAUCUAUUUAUUAAGGCCAAACAUGUCCUCGCAGCCCCAGAGCCAGGGGUGACUCUGCCCGGGAUGAUUAGUUGGGUUGAACGUCACUCAUCCUUCUCUCUCCAAGGCCUUCCUUCCACGGCCGUUGGCUUCUGA